AAAAAAAGAAAAAAGAAAGAAAAAAGAAAGAAAGAAAAAAGAAAGAAAAAAGAAAAAACAAAAGAAUGGACCUCGGUCCUUAUGCAAAGCUUCCACUGGUCCUGUCCCAGGCUGAUCUUGAAGAGGGUCGCGGCAACACCCAUGUCCCGUUCCAAGCCUCGCUGUGUAAGUAGGAAACCACACUGACAACAUAGAUAGGCCAUUAGCAUGCCCUCAAAACAACGUACAAAACUUUUAUAGUCUGAAUGAUUUUAAUUACAGAAAUAUGUUUAUGAAUUUGUCUUUUUUAAUUUUAAUUUUCUUUAACAUUAAUUUAUUUCAAAGAUGUGAAACCUUCCCCUUGAAAAAUAAUUUCUGGAGACUUCAGAUUUUAUAAUUUGUUGGUUUUUCUGUCUCAGGUCCGAGUGUAGCAGUACAGCCUCGUCCAGAACCAGGAUAAGUCCACUCCUCGGCUGUUACUGAGGAAGGUCCCACCGAUGUUCAGCCCCUCACGUUUCUCCUCCCCCAAGCUCAACCAGGUAAGUCACUCUCACUCCUCUUCUGUCUCUCCCUCUUUCUCUCCCUCUCCUCCUGUCUCUCAAAGAAAAAAAGAAAGAAAAAAGAAAGAAAAAAAGAAAAAAGAAAGAAAAAAAGAAAAAAAAGAAAGAAAGAAAAAAGAAAAAACAAGAAAG
This 671-nucleotide long non-coding RNA is filed under the name Xyrichtys novacula (pearly razorfish). The record is from RNAcentral. Lineage: Eukaryota; Metazoa; Chordata; Actinopteri; Labriformes; Labridae.